Stegostoma tigrinum is the source of this 1422-nucleotide RNA transcript. It is a transcript of the gene named histone H2AX-like, with no coding region annotated. NCBI's taxonomy places the organism in Eukaryota, Metazoa, Chordata, Chondrichthyes, Orectolobiformes, Stegostomatidae. The record is from RefSeq and is a predicted model, not a curated record. The transcript is spliced from 4 exons.
UAUAGUCCAGUGCCUAGUACUAAUGAAUAUAGAAAUAGGUGGAAAGAACAGAUUAGUGCAUGGUUGAGUGAAAUAAUAGUUAAAUAAUAGAAUGAGAUUUCAACCUCUCCAAUAUUAACCAGGAUAGACAGCUUGACAAGUAUGAAAAGCUUAGAUGGGGCAGAAUUCUUAAAAUGUGUCCAGGAUAGCUUUUUAAGAUGGCAUGUAAAAUGCUGGACAGGAAAGGAGGCAGAGCUACACCCAAUUUUAGGGGGAAAAAAGCCAGACGAGUAGUAGAUGUGGGGAAACAAUUCAGUGAUCAUGACCAUAAGUAAGGAUCAGCACAAAGAUGGACCAGAAAUAAAGGUUCUGAGUCGGGAAAACUAAUUUUAAAGUGAUAAGACAGGAUCUGACCAAAGCAGACUGAGACCAGCUACUUGCUAGAAAGUUCAUAUUAGACCAGUAGGAGUCUUUCAAAAGUGUGAUAGUGAGAAUGCAGGACUGUCUUGUUCCCGUAAAUGUGGAGGGUGGGAUCAACAAGUCCAGAGAAUCCUGGUUGUCAAGGGAAGUACAGAAUUGAGUAAAGAAAAUAAAGGGAAGCUUAUAGCAGAUACCAAAGGCUCAAAACAGCAGAUGCGUUAGAAAAGUAUAGAAAAUGCAGAGGGUUACUGAAGAAAUAAAUUAAGCGGAUGAAGAGGGAACAUAAAAAAUCACUUUCAGGGUUUCUUCAUGAACAUUGUUAUUUGAAGCUUCAGAGUUUGAUUUUGAAUCAACUGUCCAAUUUGCCUGUAGAACACACCAAUGGGAGUACAAUUUUGGGCCACCGUAAUGCCAACAGCGACACUUUGUGAAGUCCAAAAUUUGGGAAAUGAUGAGUGCAGGCUGGCAACACCCUAUAUCAUUGCUCUGGGGACUAUUUUUAUUAUGCACCAACCGGGUAAAAGAAAAUACAUCAGAUGGCUUGAGUAUUCCCACUAUUUUCUGAUAUAAACUGUAAAAUUGCAGUCGGUUAUGAGACUCAGCAGCAACAACUUUUUUAAAAUGACCUGGGUAUCACAGCAACAUCUUCAGUGUUUGUUUGACCUUGUCAAACAUUCAUUUAGUAACUUCUACUGGCAUUCCACCAUGCGAACUGUUUCUGAGGUCAACAUUCUCUAGAUAAUGUUAUUAUGUUAUCAAGGUUUAUUGUCUAUCAAUUCUGAAUAUCAUUAUUUGCACACUCCAUGGGAAUAUGUAAAUUUCAGACUACACGCGAAGUUACCUUGAAGGAAUAGUUUUCAUUUCAGUAAUUUAAAUGAGCACAACCAAAUUCCACUUUCUUGACCCAGCUGUUAUUAAAUCAACUCAUGAGGUCAUUGAUGGGCUUAUCCAUGAUUGUCUUGAUUUGAUCAAAAAUUAAGAUAUGCUCCAAUAUCAUGUCUCCAGCCAAUUGUAUCAGUUUGU